AUUGAACGCUGGCGGCAUGCCUUACACAUGCAAGUCGAACGGCAGCACGGGAGCUUGCUCCUGGUGGCGAGUGGCGACCGGGUGAGUAAUACACCGGACCGUACCCAGUCGUGGGGGAUAACGCACCGAAACGUGCGCUAAUACCCCAUACGACCUACGGGUGAAAGCGGGGGCCCGUAAGGCCUCGCGCUAUUGGAGCGGCCGCUGUCUGAUUAGCUAGUUGGCGGGGUAAUAGCCCACCAAGGCGACGAUCAGUAGCUGGUCUGAGAGGACGGUCAGCCACACUGGGACUGAGACACGGCCCAGACUCCUACGGGAGGCAGCAGUGGGGAAUUUUGGACAAUGGGGGCAACCCUGAUCCAGCAAUGCCGCGUGUGCGAAGAAGGCCUUCGGGUUGUAAAGCACUUUUGUCAGGGAAGAAAUCUUUCAGGCUAAUACCCUUGGAAGGAUGACGGUACCUGAAGAAUAAGCACCGGCUAACUACGUGCCAGCCGCCGCGGUAA
This 503-nucleotide ribosomal RNA is filed under the name uncultured bacterium. RNAcentral's name for it is "partial 16S ribosomal RNA". It matches the Rfam family "Bacterial small subunit ribosomal RNA", at positions 30 to 523 of the family's 1533-position model. The record is from RNAcentral.